RNAcentral lists this ribosomal RNA (253 nucleotides) under uncultured bacterium. RNAcentral describes it as "partial 16S ribosomal RNA". It matches the Rfam family "Bacterial small subunit ribosomal RNA", at positions 524 to 776 of the family's 1533-position model. The record is from RNAcentral.
UACGGAGGGUGCAAGCGUUAUCCGGAGUUACUGGGCUUAAAGGGUGUGUAGGCGGACUUUUAAGUCAGCGGUGAAAUCUCCGGGCUCAACCCGGAAACUGCCAUUGAUACUAUUUGUCUUGAAUACUGUGGAGGUCAGCGGAAUAUGUCAUGUAGCGGUGAAAUGCUUAGAUAUGACAUAGAACACCAAUUGCGAAGGCAGCUGGCUACACAAAUAUUGACACUGAGGCACGAAAGCGUGGGGAUCAAACCGG